Mus musculus (house mouse) is the source of this 1841-nucleotide long non-coding RNA. RefSeq annotates it as predicted gene, 35991. NCBI's taxonomy places the organism in Eukaryota, Metazoa, Chordata, Mammalia, Rodentia, Muridae. The transcript has 3 exons. The record is from RefSeq and is a predicted model, not a curated record.
CUGAUCUGUUAGCCUUAGCGGUUUAGAGGAUUAAAAAGGCAAGAAUAUUAGGAAGCAGAAAGAAAAGCAAGCAGGCAGCACAGCCAAUGGAGCAGAUCUAAUGGAGCACGGGGCCAGGGAAGAAAGGAUUCUGCCACCUGAGCGAUCGUAUUUAUUAUUCUUGUUUCACAAUUAAACUUUUAAGAAGCGAAUAAUAAUUUUCCAGACAUUUUCCCUUUCUUUGCUAUGCCAGUCACAUCGCCCCGUCCUUUAUCAACACUGCUCUGCAUCUGAAUGGGCUGUAAUUGAACUGUCGCUUUCCUGAAGAUGAAGAAGCAUUUCCAUGACACCGUGAAAGUGAACCACCAUCUGGCAAAUAACCUCGGGCAUAAGCUCAGCAUGUCUUGGCCUUUGAAGAGGACAGUCCCCAGCCUUCUGUAGCCAUGGAAGAAAUGGAAGGAAGAAUGAGGCAAAUGCAAACAAUGACAAAAGCAAACUACUCCGGGCCAUCUGAGGUUGAGCCAAGCAGAUCUUAUUAAACAUGGAACAAGACAAGCACAUGAACACGGACCAGCCACGCGCUCUUGAUGAUUCGGUGUCUCCUCUCUUGACCCCAAGCCCUGCUCUCACUAUUCUGAAUUUGCCCUUCCGUGGACAAGGACGCAUUACUAACUCAGGGGGAGGAAUGUUUCCAUCACUUCCUCAAGGUCACUUAGGUUUGCCUUGCUGGUCCUAUUCUGCUCUUGGUGACCGCAGUGUCUUACAAAGUCACCAUACUUGGUGUGUUUUUAAAGCUUCCAGGUGGUGAGUCCACAGGUUUUCAUCUAAAAUACUGACAACCACAGGCAAAAAAUCCUGUAAGGUAGCACUUCAGGUAGAAGAAAUUUAACAAUAUUGGAACUUAAGAAAAACAAAAUGUCCCAACAGACUUGGCCCAGCACAUCCUCCCCUCCAGAGAGGUGAACGGAAUUUGAACAAAAGAACUUCUUUUUUCCUGGUUCUCAAAAAGGAUAAAACGUCGAAAUGUCAGGCUUUAUGUAAAAGUCUUCUAAGUCUACUUAACAUUAUUAACUAAGUCAUGAGGAUGAAGGAUUCAGGUAGCAUGGGUGCAGGCAAGAUAAUGCUCUAGUUCCAUACACUGUUUCUUUCAAGAGCCAAAUUGAAAUUUUCUACUCUCCUAUCGUGUAAUUUAAAGAACAGUCUUUAGUUGACCUUUGUUCAGGGCCAAGUGGCUCUUUUAACAAAACGAUGAUCCUGGCUUUUAAAAUAUAUAAAUGAACAGAACACAGAGCAAUUGUAGGGCCGUGGAAAUAAUCUGUAGGGUAUGAUAAUGUGUCCAUAUGCAUUCGUCAGAACCUGUCUGAUGCACAAUGUCAAUGAAAUGAGCUUUAAACUUGUAUGAUGAGAAGAUGCUAAAAUGAAUUCAUCAGUCAUAAUGAGAGUACUCUUGAGACGGGGCCCAGAGAAAUGGCUCAGCAGUCAAGAGCAUUGGUACCCACAUAGUAGCUCAUAGCUAUCUAUGACUCCAGUUCUGGGGAUCUGACAUACUCUUCUAGCCUCCAUAAGCACCAGGCAUGAGCAUGGUACACAAGCAUAGCUACAUACAGGCAAAACACUUAAAAGAAGAUAAGUUAAAAACAAACAAGUAAACAAACAAACAAACAAACAAACCCAAGAGUACCCUUUGGGUGGAUGCUGUUGACAAUAAUAGAAUCUACAUGUAUGGAAGAAGAUAGUAUAGAAUCUCUCCAUUUUCCUUUCCACGGGCCUGUUAAAAUUUGGAUAAGCUGUUAUAUACACGAAUCUAGUGCUCCCUCCAUGGUAACGAAUCCUACUGAUGCAGGUACCUCAGUAGCCUUGAG